RNAcentral lists this long non-coding RNA (681 nucleotides) under Homo sapiens (human). RNAcentral describes it as "non-protein coding lnc-SUMF1-5:5". The record is from RNAcentral. Lineage: Eukaryota; Metazoa; Chordata; Mammalia; Primates; Hominidae.
AGACCGCCUGGCCUUGGGUGGAUCGGGUCUCUGGGCAGAGCGUGUGUCCGGCAGAGCUAGGACCGGAAAAAGCCACUCUAGGUCUAGGUUAGGAGUGAUGACAGUUAAAAGAUAUAUAAGGAAAAGAAGGAAAGGAUCGUUUCUGUAUAAAACGAGCUAUUUUUGCAUAUCGAGCGCAUAAGUUUUAUAACUUAGGUGUCUGUUUAUGGAGAGGGUGGGAUACUACCUUUUAGCUCAAGGAGUGCACAAAACGGUAUCAUGAAUUCUGCUCUUUUGAUUCAAACACCCAACUUUGAAGAAUCGCUCAUGGUGCUUGUAAAACACGUAUCCCCAGAUCCCUCCCUAGACCUAUCGAACAACUCCAACGGUCUCGGGAAUGUGCGUGGUUUCUGAAAAGCUUGGGAAGCAAGACCUGACUAGACCCCCAAAUCUGAUAUUGGCUGAAUGGCCGACCAAUGGAGUGCAUAAGAAGUCUGGAUACAAAGGCAGCCCAAUUUCUAGAAAUGUAUACCAGCCAUGAAGAGAUAAAGCUCCAAGAGGAGAUUUCUCUUUCUGGUAUAAGGAUUUAAACAAAACCUAGAAUGUCGCAGUACUCGAAGUAUCCAAAACAACUGAAAAAUGAAGAAGAAUAAAAGAAGAAUCCAAAAGUAUCCAAAAUAACUGAACAUAUGAAGAAUCAUG